CUCAGGAUGAACGCUAGCGGGAGGCCUAACACAUGCAAGCCGAGCGGUAGAGAUUCUUCGGAAUCUUGAGAGCGGCGUACGGGUGCGGAACACGUGUGCAACCUACCUUUAUCAGGGGGAUAGCCUUUCGAAAGGAAGAUUAAUACCCCAUAAUAUAUUGAAUGGCAUCAUUUAAUAUUGAAAACUCCGGUGGAUAGAGAUGGGCACGCGCAAGAUUAGAUAGUUGGUAGGGUAACGGCCUACCAAGUCAAUGAUCUUUAGGGGGCCUGAGAGGGUGAUCCCCCACACUGGUACUGAGACACGGACCAGACUCCUACGGGAGGCAGCAGUGAGGAAUAUUGGACAAUGGGUGAGAGCCUGAUCCAGCCAUCCCGCGUGAAGGACGACGGCCCUAUGGGUUGUAAACUUCUUUUGUAUAGGGAUAAACCUACUCUCGUGAGAGUAGCUGAAGGUACUAUACGAAUAAGCACCGGCUAACUCCGUGCCAGCAGCCGCGGUAAUACGGAGGGUGCAAGCGUUAUCCGGAUUUAUUGGGUUUAAAGGGUCCGUAGGCGGAUCUGUAAGUCAGUGGUGAAAUCUCAUAGCUUAACUAUGAAACUGCCAUUGAUACUGCAGGUCUUGAGUAAAGUAGAAGUGGCUGGAAUAAGUAGUGUAGCGGUGAAAUGCAUAGAUAUUACUUAGAACACCAAUUGCGAAGGCAGGUCACUAUGUUUUAACUGACGCUGAUGGACGAAAGCGUGGGGAGCGAACAGGAUUAGAUACCCUGGUAGUCCACGCCGUAAACGAUGCUAACUCGUUUUUGGGUUUUCGGAUUCAGAGACUAAGCGAAAGUGAUAAGUU
Molecule: ribosomal RNA, 840 nt
Filed under: Chryseobacterium sp. N1
Lineage: Bacteria; Pseudomonadati; Bacteroidota; Flavobacteriia; Flavobacteriales; Weeksellaceae
Description: bacterial SSU rRNA
Rfam family: Bacterial small subunit ribosomal RNA
Source: RNAcentral